GGAGGGAUCUCUUUCUGGAGACUGAUCCUCUUGGAGUUUUUCCUGUGAACCUACAACACAGGCUCAAUUCUCCAAUUUGAAGUGUGUAAAUGAUGUCCCAUCAUGGUUCUCCUUCGAACUAGCUGUUCUCUCAUCUCAUGGCUUGUAGCAUGACUCUGCUGUUAGUGCAUGCCCCUGAGUGUUGAAGAUUUUGCACAGAAGAAAUGAGAAGGCAAAGAAAUCAUCUCCUUUGGGAGGACAUUUUCAGGGCAGCAGAAGGAAGACACUGCAUAUAUUUAAAUUGGGAAGGGAACUGGGAGGAAGGAUCAUUAUUUUCACUCUAAAAAAAAACUUCCAAAUCUUUGGUAGGAGAGAUGUAUGAUGUGGCUAAACUGAGACUAGAAAUCAUCUGAUAUUUACACAGGGAGUUUUGUAUUGUUCAUUAUUUCUACUAAAAUGCCUCCAAAAGUGGUUAGAAUCAAACUGCUGUUUGGGAAAGUUCUGCAAACAAUAGAUAUAUGCUCUUUGAGAUCAAGCCCAUUAUAUGCUAUUUCUCUUUCAAUUUGUUUCCUUUUUGCUUUGUAUUUCUGUUUACUUCUUUGUUUCUGCAUUUUGAUUUCUCAUAUUGCAACUUGUAUCUGAGCCUUCCAAACAUCUUCCAUAAGAUUUCAAGAGAGUGACUCUUAAAUUUUCUUUCUCUAAAUGACGAAAACUCUCAAAUUUCAUUUUCAAAUCAUAAACAUUUGAGAACCUUUUUAUUUUCAAAAUAUAGAACCUAUUCUUCCUAAUGAUGUGUGAUAAUAGCGAAAAUCAACCAAAAUUGUGCAUUUACUUAUAACCAUCAUGACUCUAAAUAGGCACAUUUUGUGUUCAUUGCUUGCUACUAGUUGAGGAAAACUAUUUUGGAUUCUCCUAAAUCGCAUAAUUACAGAAUUUGCUACAUCUGCAUUGUUAAACUUUAAAGAAGUAUAUUGUCUCAUGUUUCAAAUGUUUUUCUUUCUUCCAUGAGCCUCUGCAUGGAAAGUAUAGAAGUAUGAACUCCAGGAAUUUUUACAAUGAGAAAGGAAGGAUGGGUUUCCAAUAAAGGAAUACAAGAGACUUAUUGCCUGCCUCAGCAAGGCACACUUAUUUGUGUG
This 1115-nucleotide long non-coding RNA is filed under the name Gallus gallus (chicken). Its description in RNAcentral is "lncRNA (ENSGALG00010005832.1)". The record is from RNAcentral. Lineage: Eukaryota; Metazoa; Chordata; Aves; Galliformes; Phasianidae.